AUACUCUAUAGUGAACUCAUUAUUUCUUACUUGCAGUUGAAGUGGUGUGCUUGGGUUGCGCUAUACUGCUCCUGCAUCAGCUUUGCCAACUCGAGAGUCAAUGACGAUACGAAACAAAUGCUCAGCAGCUUCAUGUUGUCCAUUUCUGCAGUUGUGAUGUCCUACCUUCAAAACCCACAGCCAAUGACACCUCCAUGGUCCAAUAUAUAAACAGUUCUAUAUUAUCGAUUGUUUUUGGUUGAAUGGAAAUGUAUAAUUGCCUCACCAUACUUGUAUUAAAAUUGUACUGCUGAAUGACAGUGACAAUUUUAGUUUUAAUAAACUAGCUAAUGGUGCCAGGUUUGUAUUAUGAUGUGCAAUAUGGAACAGUGCCAACAUUUGAUGAUGUGCAUGAGUUACAAAAUGGCUUGGUUUGUUAAUCUUUUAAUUUGUGUAGCCUGCACUAUAUAAUUCUUGUGUUAUACUUCCCAUCCAAAAGUUUCUUGUAAGCAGCUUGUCUUUUUUUUCCUUUAACAAAUGGACAAAUUUGUAUUGUCCCAUAACAUUAUCAUGUCAUUCAUGCCAGUGUAAAAGGCAAUAGCAUGAAGGUCAAAGCUUGAAAUAUCCUGGAAUAUGAAGUACCAUACGAGUUGAUCCUCGAGUGACAACCACAUUAGUACAGUAGAUAGCCUCCAUAUUAGACAUAAAAGGAAGACUUGAUCACCACGUUAGAAAUAGAAGAGUGAAAGGGAAUUGGGAGUGGAAUGGUAGGCAGUCAGUAUGGGGGAAGGGAGACUUUUGGAGUACAGUACAGUACUGUCCAUUCAGUAGAGCCAGGCUGUCACCUGAUCGGAUGACAGGCAAAGUUAUGUCACUAGCACUGAUUUUAUAGUUUUCUUCGAGGUGACAUCAACUGCAUAAUAUCUUUUUGAUCAUGAAAUUACAUUAACUCCAACCAGUUACUGCUGGCUAAUAAUUCUUAGACAUAAAGGAAAGAGGACAAAUCAGAAGAGCAUGUUAAGAUAGGGCUACCUGAAUAGGUUUCAGUUGUGGUUACUCCAUCAGAGGGGCGUUCAUGGGGAUAGACAGAUUCUACAGUAAAUUGUUAAUUCCUCUUUUAGGACUGCCUCCUCUUCCAUUUUGCUUAGUUAUGCAAAGUUGUUGUUUUAUGGUUACAAAGGAAACAUAUCAUUCCUUAAUUUCUUAUUUUGACUGUAUCAGAAUUUAGAAUUUCUAAAAUAUAGUUACAGGUUGUAAGUACAGUAUGUAUAACAGUUUAUACAGUACUAUACUUAGUGUAUAAAAUAUAUAUUAAUGCAGGCCAUAUGUAUUAUUGUUAAAUAUGUACUUUUGUAUUUCAUAGUAAACCUUUUACCAUAA
Procambarus clarkii (red swamp crayfish) is the source of this 1359-nucleotide non-coding RNA. NCBI's taxonomy places the organism in Eukaryota, Metazoa, Arthropoda, Malacostraca, Decapoda, Cambaridae. The record is from RefSeq and is a predicted model, not a curated record.